GCCCACGUAGCUCAGUCGGCAGAGCAUUUGCAUGGUAAGCAAAAGGUCACCAGUUCGAUUCUGGUCGUGGGCU
Molecule: transfer RNA, 73 nt
Filed under: Spirochaetes bacterium ADurb.Bin218
Lineage: Bacteria; Pseudomonadati; Spirochaetota
Also listed under: 5 other names
Description: tRNA-Thr
Rfam family: tRNA
About the family: Transfer RNA (tRNA) molecules are approximately 80 nucleotides in length.
Source: RNAcentral